AGUUGGUAACUACACACCGCAGUGGCGCAGGGUCGCACCUUUACUGUCCUUUAUUUAUAUUUAUUAUUUAUGUAUUUAUUUUAUUCUGAAAUUUUUUAGCUUCUUCUUCCAAAACCUUCUCAGCUGAGGCACCGCACAGAACAAAACACAAAGCCCAAAAGAAAAAGCCCUUCUAGCUUUGUAUUUAUUCUCCGAUAUGACUUCACCCAAAAAGCCGCCGGAAUCUGAGCGCCCGGCGACGGCGAUCUUAGUCCAGCCAUCGUCUCCUAGGUUUCCGAUUACUCCCACCGGUGCCCACCGGAAAAUUGGAAUAGCUGUCGAUCUGAGCGACGAGAGCGCAUUUGCUGUGAAAUGGGCCGUCCAGAAUUACCUCCGCCCGGGCGACGUUGUGAUCCUCCUGCACGUGCGUCCGACGAGCGUCCUCUACGGCGCCGAUUGGGGUUCUAUCGACCUGUCGAUGGAAACCGACGAGGAGUCGCAGCAGAAGCUGGAAGACGAUUUCGACGCCUUCACCACCGCGAAGGCCAACGAUCUGGCUCAGCCGCUGGUUGAGGCGCAGAUUCCUGUGAAGAUCCACAUAGUGAAGGAUCACGACAUGAAAGAGAGGCUUUGCUUGGAGGUGGAAAGAUUGGGAUUGAGUGCGGUGAUUAUGGGGAGUCGAGGUUUUGGUGCUUCGAAGCGGAAUAGUAAAGGACGGCUGGGGAGCGUUAGCGAUUACUGCGUGCAUCACUGUGUUUGUCCCGUGGUUGUGGUUAGGUUUCCUGAUGAUAAGGAUGGGAAUGAUUCCGGAGAUGCUACACCGGAGGAUAAGACGGACGGUGAUCUGCUGUGUCCGCUGGUGCAGGAGGAUGACUGCCACGUUCCAGCUAAGAUAUACAAAGGUUCAAAUGCUUCUAUGCUUUCAAUUUAAAGAAUAUUGGUUUUGAUAUUUCUAAGCUCUUUUAUUCAUGCUCUUUGGUAUUUAGCUAUGAGUUUACUGCACAAAAAAGAUAGUUUCUAGUGUAAUUUGUGGUAACACUAGUGUGCAUUGAGAUUAUGGUUUUUCGAAUUUCAUUGUGGUGAUAAUCUACAUCUGUUGCAUGUAAUAUUGGAUGAUUAAAUUUGUGGACUUUCUGUGUUCUUUGCAAAAAAAAAAAAAAAAUUAAUUAAAAAAAAAAGAAGGAUUUUAUCUGUUCUUUCAUGACCACAUUAGUUGUUUAAAUGUUUUCUUCCCAUUUUAAUACAUGUCUGCAUUCAUGUAUAAUUGUGAUCUUGAUCUCUGCAUUCAUGUGAGAUGUUUGGUUAUGUAUGUUAUUUGUAAUUGUGAUCAUGCAUUUAAUCUCAAAUGUUAGUUUUAAUACUUUGUUGUCAAAAUAAUUUUCUCUGUGAUAUCUCUACUAUUUUGUCUCUGGAUCCUUGUGCUUUCUGUCUUUAGUGUUUCUUGGGUCCUUCCUUUUUUUGGUUAAAUAUUCUCUAGUUCCUGACAAAGGUAGCGUUGUGGGAAGGAAGUAGAAAGUGUGGGAAACUGCCAGCUAUAUCACUUUGGUGUAUUUUAAAGGAAAAAAUUUUAACAAUCUCCGGAGGGGUUUAGGUUGAAAGAUAUAUUCCUCAAGUCUUUGGACUCUUGGUCCAGAGAUUCUUGAGGGAGGAGGUUUGUCAUUAUUAGAUUCCACUAAUAGGAUGGGGUAGUUUAUGGGUUUGGGUUUGGCCUCUCAGGUCCCUUCUCUCUUUUGUUUUGUCUCAGUGCUUUUUUUUUUUUUGCAUCUUGUGUAGUGGGGUUUUCCCCCUUCCCUAGGCCUUUUUUGGAAUACAUUAUACUCUUUCCCUUAAAUAGAAAAAAGGAAUGAAAGAAAGAAAAGAAAAGAAAAGAAAAGAGAAAGAAAAAUGCUCUUCUCCUGAAGGAAAAGAAAAAGAAAAACUCCCUUCUCCUCAUUUUAUGUUGAUUUUUGGGGGAAAAUGUACUUGUUCCCUGUAUUUGUGUAAGAUUUCCCAGAUUAAAACAAAAUAAUACUCCUUGCAUACGAUUUUAUAUGAAUUGAUUGAUGAUUUAGGUGUUGGAGCUUGCUUGUGGUAGAAGCUGACUAAACUUUCUCCAGGCCACACUCUCUAGCAGCUUAAUCUUUUGAACUAAUCAAUUGGAUGAGAAUAAAGAUAGGGUCCCGUUAUAAAUGUCAAUAUUGAGAACAAUGAAAUUUAUUAGAAAUGGAAAAUUUGUUGACCUCAAAAAUCAUGAGGGUUCAAGUCCCUCUAUCCCCAAAAAUGCCCGCAUGACUCCCUAACUAUUUAUACUGCUGAUUCAAAAUCCUUUUAUGUUUGAAAUAAAGGUCAUUGGAGAAAUGGUUUGGUGCUUUGUGCUGAGAAAAUCAGUUAUAUUUUUUAAAAUAUCUGGAAUUAAUACUCAUCUAAUAGGGCCUAUUUCUACACUUAUGGCCUGAAGAUGUUUUCCUACCUUUUCUUCCUUUGAAAUGGUUCAAUUUUUUUCUCUCGCUGUUGUUCUGUUUCAGCUUCAUAUAGCCAUUGCUUCAUCUUCCUUGCUUAUCAGCAGCCUUUGCAGAAAGUUCCUCUUCUCGAUUACUUGGUGAUUGAGAAAAAACCAUCCAAUGGCACAGAAAUUAUCAUGACGAUAUAGAUGCAAUGGGAUUAUGGGAGUAACCUAUAUUUGUCUUUAAAGUAUACAGGCAUAUUCUAUGCUACACUAUGGAGCUUGGAUUAAUGUUAUAGAAAUAUGUAAAAGGAUGCCAGAAUUUGCAAAUGCUGGUAUAUGUUGGGUGCUUUGCAAGAAUGGGGUGUUCUCUGUGAGGUCUUUCUACGAUGCAUUGGAAGCAGGGGUGAAGUGAUUUUCCCCUCAAAGAUAAUAUGGGGUUCUUGUGCUCCUACCAAAGUGAGUUUUCUUUUUUUUUUGCUUGGGUAGCGACUUGGGGCCGGAUCCUAACUAUGGACCAGCUCAAGAGGAGAGGAAGGGUUUUGGCAGGUUUUUGUUCUAUGUGUAAAGAUGCAGAUGAAUCAGAAGACCAUCUUUUCAUUGUGGGGUAGCUAGAGAGUUAUGACACUUUCUCUUCUCCUUCUUUGGCAUUUCGUGCCCCAUACUAUUCUGGUCAGAGCAUAAGCUAGUGAUGCUUUCAGCUACUGGACUCUCGCCAUCUAGGGUGCAGCAUUCCUCCGCUUCGUCUAGCAGCGUGACGCUUUUAUUGCUCUCCCACAAUCCCGUUUUCACGAUUUGGGCUGCUCCCAUUUCGCUCGCUGCUACUACGGGAAUCGCUUUUGCUUUCUUUUCCUCUGGCUACUAUGAUGUUUUAGUUUGCCAGGUUAAGGAUUUGUUGGAGGGAUGACAUGGUAGCUUUGUGGGUAGGAAAAGAAGGAAGUUUUGGAGAAAAGUGUCUCUUUGCCUUUUAUGGACAAUUUGGAAGGAGUGAAAUCAAAGAACUUUUGAAGGGGAGCAAUGCACUAUCCAAGCUCUCAAGGAUUCCCUCAUAACUAAUCUGUAUAUGUGGUCUCAAGGGUUCCUUCUAGGAGGCAGGCAAGAAGGCCUAGCUUAUUUGUUAGAUUUUAUAGAAUUGUUGGGCUCUUUUUCUUAUAGUGGGGUUGUAGCAACGAUAGCUAGUCUUUUGUUUCUCAUUUGUAUACUUCCGGUAUACUGUGUUCGUCACUUUAGUUUGACAGUCUUUAUAUGUUUAUUAAUAUACAUACUCUUAUUUGCCUAUCAAAAUAUCUCUCUCUCUCUCUCUCUCUAUAUAUAUAUUAGGUGCUUUUCUCAUUAAGACUUGUUAGUCCAUUUUUCUUCUCACUCGACUAAAAUAUUGUUAAUUCUCUUUUUUAUUUCUUUAAAGGUAGCAUGGUAUCAUUUCUCUUGUUACAACCUUCGUUAUUAUACAAGGUGUUGCUGUGCAUAGCUUUACCUUUUUUGUCUUUACUUUGUUUAGUUUGUUGUUGAUUCUGUUUUUCACUCUAAACUGAAGUUUCCCAUUUUUGUUACGUAUUAUAACAUGUGUAGCAAUGGUAUAACUCAAGAAAAAUGAGAAUAACAAGUUUUGAAGUGAUUUCAUUGGGAAAAAGAAUUUUUAUUAGCUGUGAUAAGUGUGUUGUCAAACAAGCUCUGCACCGACAAUAAAUAAAUCUUUGAUGCUCUGUUCCAAAUCUUGUAUCUAGCAUUUUUAAUUGCAGCAUGUAUGGCCAUCCUAAAUAACAACAAACCUGGGAAGUAAGACAUGGUUUCUUCUUCUUGACAGAGCUGCAGAUCAAACCCUCCGCACAAAUUCCUUGAUCAAGUAAAUAUUUGGCAUUCAGUGUCAAACAGUGUAAAAGUAAUCACUGUUUACCUUCAUGAGUUAGCCAACUGAGAAAUACAGCUUCCUAGAAAUCCUCAAAGAAUGGAUAAUUUUCUUCUUGAAGCCUUGAAGGUGCCAUUGAUACAACACCAUCACAAUAUGUACAAGGUGAUAAGGAAUAAGGAUCUACUUAGGCUCAGUUCAAGAUCUAUUCAUUCAUUUUUUUUGGUACUUCCUAGUUCUCAAAUGGACAAGGUUGAUGUUACCAGGUCAUAUCUGGAGUUAGGCAUAGUUAAUUACUAAUGUCCUCUGCAAUGUAUGAGAUAGGGCCUGCUUGCUAGACCUUAAGCCUGAAUCUGAAGCCCCAAUCCUAGUGGAAACAUUGAUCUUAAUCAUAACCUGCCUAUUAAAAAAUUGAACUCAACCACAACCUGGUUCAAUCCUAUAUGAAUUAAUUACCUACAUACCCACACAUGGAUAAUAUUCUUGUAUUUGUGGGAAUGAUGAGGACUUGCUUGCCAAUCCUUUGAGUGAAGAUGAGGCUGACUAAGUUUUAUUGAUGGUGUGCAUUUUCUUUUUUCUUUUUUUUAUGGUAAUGCUACAGUUAAUUUUUUAUCAUGCGGGUUUCUAGUAUAUUCCAGGUUGCUUAUUUUUCUGCUAGUAUUAGGGAUGAUUAGUUUCCUGAUUUGCACUAAUGUGAAUAUCUCUGUUGUUUGCUUCCACCAGGCCCCUUUUAGAGCCUUGAUUUUGAUUUUUUCUCUACCAUCCAUAUUGUAUUUUUCUGCUUUUACAUUAGGAUAUUAGUUUCAUGUUUUGCAUUAACUUGAAUGUCCCUGUUGUUUUCUCCCCCCUGGCCCUUUUCAGAGCCUUGAUCUUGAUUUCCUCAAUUAUGGUAACUUUUUUUUUCAGCAACUGUGUUGGGAGAUCAGUUUCCUGUUUUGUGUUAACUUUAAAUCAUUCUGUUGUUUAUUAACUAGUGGCUGUAAUGGAUAUAAGAUUUGAGCACAUCCUCUGUAUGCUCGUGAGCUCGAACUUCGAGUAUGCACCCCGUGUGCUCGAGGAAACAAACAACGAAAACAAACCCUCCAUGUUCAUGAGAACACGGACGAUCGAGAAAGAAAACAAAACGAAAAAGGAAUAUUUUCUGUUAUGGGCAUGCUUUUCAAGACAUGACAUGUGUCCACCCCUAGUUAGUAUAAAAACUUAAAGAAGACUCAAGAAAGGGACUUUUUUUUUUCCAACUAAAACAGUGGCCACUUGUAGAGCCUUGAACAUGAUCUUCCUCAGCUAUGCUUGAAUGUUCCUUCAAUUUCUGGAGGUCCCUUUCUUGUACACAAAAUUGAUUUUCUUGCAAUAACUAUCUGCACUUUUCCAUAUUCAAACUUUGCUUUGCUCAUUGUUGAGACACUAUAAUCCUUGGUCAGGAAUCAUGAUAAUUGCCAGUUGGGUUGGCUUGUGGAUUUGCCUAAAAUUUUCUCGUAUCUUAUACAAUAUCUUACAUUAAUUCUUCCAAUUUUUGUUAUAAAGUUCUUUCAUUUAAUUUGUUAGUAUUUUUAUUCUUCUGUUUGGGUUCAUUCACAUGAGACUUUCUGCUAUGUUGUUCUCUGAUCAUCACUAUGAGGAUCAGUUUCAUACAUUUUUACCUUGAUAGUAAUAAUUAAACCCUAAAUUUGAAAACUUCUUUAGCUAUUAUUAGCACUUACCCAACCAUGGAAGAUGAAGAUCUAUCGUACAAGAUGCUGCAGGUGAUGUUCAAGAUUUGAAUCAUUAGCUCAAAGUAACAAAAUAUGUAAUGGGUUUAUUGUAAAAUGGCAAUGCACCUACUACCUCUCUCUCCCUCUCUCUCUUGUUGUUUUCUUCGUAUUAAAUUUUGAAUAAGUCAGUGUCAUGGGUGGAUCCUCUUAAAUCAGUUGGUGGUUGUGUGUCUUAUCACCUUUUUUGGCUGUAUGUUAUUUGUUUUCCUUGUUUUUGUCACAAGAACCAGAGAGCUGUUAGUAAGAUUAGUUUGACCACCAUGGAAAAGCUACUGGAUAUUAGUUUUAUGUUUGCAACCUUGAGCUCACCAGCAUUAUAAAUGGUCGAAGUUAGUAGAGGUUCACUGACUGGCAGAGCAUGUUUUCAUGCACAUACCGAGUUCACAGGGGUUUCCCUCUCCUCUUGGAUUUCACUCCACUUGGCAGGCAUAUUGUUCUAGAUGGAUGACUAGACUUUUAUGGAUUGAUAUUGUGUCUGAUCCCAGGAUUGAAGCAUGGUUUCUAAGCACCAUGACUUAACAUGAGCCCUUGCCUGAGAGAUUGUUUCAACAAUAUAACGAUAUAAAUACUUUUAACUAUCUGGUUAAACAUUUAUUGGUGCUCUUUGCAGAUUAGUUUUGAAAUGACAGAGUAAACUUCUGAUUUCCCGGAAGCUAGGCCAUCCAUAUUCAUUUAAGAACUUUACAUGUGAAUUCAUUAAUUCAUAAAUCAUCGAUCACAUGAUUGCAAGCUCCUGUAAGAGUCAUGUAAGUUGCUAUUGUUGGUGCCUUGAGAAUCUGUUUGAAAUGUUCUAAAAUGAUUAAUCCUCUACUCAAUAUUAUCUACCAUGUGUUGUCUCUCUCUCAUAGUGUAAUGAAGUCACUCCUUAUGUUUUGGGUGAAAACUGAUGCUGAUGACUACCAUUCAUGUGUUGCAGAGACAGAGGCGGCCUCUUAAGCAGGAUCCAGUUUGCUGCUUUGCUUGGUGGUUGUGGAUUCAUGUCU
RNA transcript from Vitis vinifera (wine grape), 6981 nucleotides. It is a transcript of the gene named universal stress protein PHOS32, with no coding region annotated. Lineage: Eukaryota; Viridiplantae; Streptophyta; Magnoliopsida; Vitales; Vitaceae. The transcript is spliced from 2 exons. The record is from RefSeq and is a predicted model, not a curated record.